Long non-coding RNA from Pieris rapae (cabbage white), 313 nucleotides. RefSeq lists it as uncharacterized. The transcript is spliced from 2 exons. Lineage: Eukaryota; Metazoa; Arthropoda; Insecta; Lepidoptera; Pieridae. The record is from RefSeq and is a predicted model, not a curated record.
CGUAACAAUGGGCCGAUUAUUCCAUUUCAACAAGUGAAUGCUCGAACAGCGGCUUUGACAGGUGUUUCUGAAAGAACCGUGAACCGUAUAGUUUCAGAGGGAAAAAUCAUGGAAAGUAAUUUUACAGCGAGAACUGAAGUCCCUAAUCAAGCAGCUCAAGGACCUUCCACAUCCACAGCUUGUGAUGACAAUUCCACACCAGAGAACACUACUUCCGAGGCUAAAGUUACGAUAAAACUAGUCACUCCAGGUAAAAGUAGAAAAAGAAAAUUAACUGUUUCUGAUUUGGAUGACUUUGAUCUUUGUGUUAUUA